AACGAACGCUGGCGGCAUGCCUAACACAUGCAAGUCGAACGAUCCCUUCGGGGAUAGUGGCGCACGGGUGCGUAACGCGUGGGAACCUGCCCUUAGGUUCGGAAUAACUCAGAGAAAUUUGAGCUAAUACCGGAUAAUGUCUUCGGACCAAAGAUUUAUCACCUUUGGAUGGGCCCGCGUUGGAUUAGCUAGUUGGUGGGGUAAAGGCCUACCAAGGCGACGAUCCAUAGCUGGUCUGAGAGGAUGAUCAGCCACACUGGGACUGAGACACGGCCCAGACUCCUACGGGAGGCAGCAGUGGGGAAUAUUGGACAAUGGGCGAAAGCCUGAUCCAGCAAUGCCGCGUGAGUGAUGAAGGCCUUAGGGUUGUAAAGCUCUUUUACCCGGGAUGAUAAUGACAGUACCGGGAGAAUAAGCCCCGGCUAACUCCGUG
This 433-nucleotide ribosomal RNA is filed under the name uncultured bacterium. Its description in RNAcentral is "partial 16S ribosomal RNA". It matches the Rfam family "Bacterial small subunit ribosomal RNA", at positions 29 to 507 of the family's 1533-position model. The record is from RNAcentral.